UUGCUUUGGCAGCACAUAUACUAAAAUUGGAAUGAUACAGAGAAGAUUAAUAUGGCCCCUGUGCAAGGAUAAAACACAACUUUGUGAAGCAUUCCAUAUUGUU
This is a small nuclear RNA of Myotis lucifugus (little brown bat), 103 nucleotides long. Lineage: Eukaryota; Metazoa; Chordata; Mammalia; Chiroptera; Vespertilionidae. The record is from Ensembl.